AACGAACGCUGGCGGCAGGCUUAACACAUGCAAGUCGAGCGCCCCGCAAGGGGAGUGGCAGACGGGUGAGUAACACGUGGGAACAUGCCCAAAGGUACGGAAUAUCCUCGGGAAACUGGGAGCAAUACCGUAUGUGCCCGAAAGGGGAAAGAUUUAUCGCCUUUGGAUUGGCCCGCGUUGGAUUAGCUAGUUGGUGGGGUAAAAGCCUACCAAGGCGACGAUCCAUAGCUGGUCUGAGAGGACGACCAGCCACACUGGGACUGAGACACGGCCCAGACUCCUACGGGAGGCAGCAGUGGGGAAUCUUGGACAAUGGGCGCAAGCCUGAUCCAGCCAUGCCGCGUGAGUGAUGAAGGCCCUAGGGUUGUAAAACUCUUUCGUGGGGGACGAUAAUGACGGUACCCCAAGAAGAAGCUCCGGCUAACUUCGUGCCAGCAGCCGCGGUAA
Molecule: ribosomal RNA, 447 nt
Filed under: uncultured bacterium
Lineage: Bacteria
Description: partial 16S ribosomal RNA
Rfam family: Bacterial small subunit ribosomal RNA
Source: RNAcentral